Non-coding RNA from Paramuricea clavata, 5164 nucleotides. The record is from the annotation of a GenBank genome assembly. Lineage: Eukaryota; Metazoa; Cnidaria; Anthozoa; Malacalcyonacea; Plexauridae.
CAAUCUGGAUUAUCUACAUCAAGUAAGAUAAUUGAAAUGAAUCCAUCAUCUCCCUCAUUCAAUGCAUAGGUGGAAUGAACGCUAGUGGCUUUUCAGAAAUAUAUCAAAAUGUCAGAAGAUGACGACAACUGUUAUGCAGUAAAUGAAGGACGAUAUCAUAAAUGUAACGAGUGUGCGCACCGAAAGAGAAACAUUUAUGAAAUCAUCCUGAACUCGUUAAAACUGUUGUCGCCUCGUUAGGGCGAAAGUACAAAUAAACCUGUUUAUUUGCACUUCCGCCUUCACCCGGAUCAGGAUUUUUUAUAAUUUUAAUCAUUGCCCCGUUCCAACAAUUAUGAUAAUAGUGGGACAAAAAGCAAUAUCAGUGACAGAAGACGAUAUCAGUUACCGAAAACGUUAUCAGUGACACAUAGUUAUCGUUUUUAUGCCAUCGCCAGUGGCGCCGCCAGUUCGAUAAUUGGCGGGGCGAAUAUUCAUAUCUUCGUGUUCUGCAUUAUUAACUUCUUUUGAAAUCGAUUGUUUUUGUGGUCUGUGCAUGAACACAAAUAUAUGAAUAUUCCCCCCCCCCCAAUUAUCGAGCUGGCGGCGCCACUGUUCAUCGCUCUGCUAAAGGCAAAAUAUAUGAGCGUCGACACGAUACCAGUUUUUUCGCAUCGAGAGACAUUUAUGAAAUCGUCCUGCAUGCAAUAAUGGUGAUAUUCCUGUGCCCGGAUUACGAUAACGGCUGUUUGUUUUAUAAUUGUUCCUUAUAUCUGGAUUUAUUAGAAUAUUGAUAAUUAACCCGAUCCAUCAAUGAUAGAUUAAAAUAGCGGGACAAGGAUCGAUUUCAGUGAGAUAUCGUCUUUAUGUCACCAUACUAAUUCAUUCGAUUAAAUCACUACUUAAAGUGAGCCGAAUUCAUUUCAUCCAGUCCAAGGACUUGAUCCAGUCGAAGUAUGAAUUAAUAUUGAUCUAAAAUCCUGGUCAAAAAUAUUGGUGCACUUGACACUGACUGUGCGAAAUUUGAAUCCCACAUCAAUAACAAGCAUAGCAACCCCCCUUCCCCCGUUCAAUGUUAUCAAAAAUAUUGCCGCACUUGACACUGACUGUGCGAAAUUUGACUCCCACAUCAAUAACAAGAAUAGUAACCCCCCCCCCCCCCAUCCUCCGUUCAGUGUUGUGUGUUGUGUGUUAUACGUCCAAUGUGUUACACAACAUUGACAAGGGGGAUAGGGGGUGUUUGGACAUGAAAUUUUGCAUAAACUGGGCAAGUAUGUAAAUGGUGGUCAGAAAUGAAGUAAAGGUUAUGCUACUUCGACUAAGUGCGCAAAGGAUUUUUGACCAGGAUUGUAGUCCAAAUCCAAGGAUGACUUUAUCGUCGUACGAAGCAGAUGUCCUUUACGGUGAAGGAGAUGAAAGACCUUUUAAGAAAGAAAUCAACGCCAAUCAACGUACGAUAUUCCACACGAAUUAUUAGCUCUAUUUGUGUUGGGUCUAGAUAUUCUGUCAAGUUUAUUUUCGACAAAUAGCCUGCGACGAAUUGCAUCGCGAACUGCACUCAAUGAACAAGAACCAUGAUUUGCAAAUCAAGAAUUUAAAGAAAGCUAGACCAGAACUAAAUUAGGAGAAACAACAUGCACAGCAAGUCGAAGAACUUGCACAACAUAUAAUUCGUGACUGUUCGGAAAUCGCUGGAAUUAAACCCACAAGGAAAGUCUCAUGCGAAGCAAUAGUGAAUUCAAUUGGCGAAAAAAUUGGUGUUCCCGUUACAGUUGACGACAUAUCAAUCGCGCAUCCAAUAACAUCGUAUAAUCAAUCUGCAGCACCCAAAUUAAUUGUAAAAUUCACGCGAAGACAAGAAAACGAAAUACGUUUUAUCAAGCCUGUAGGAAGCUUGUCUCUAAGAAAGCGAAAGAUCUUCAUCGACUUGGUCUCGAGUCCGAUUCGCGGGUAUAUAUUUCAGUUUGCCCGUCUAUAUGAAUUUAUACACACCAACUCGAAAACGUCUGCAGAAGUUGUAGGUCUAUAUAUUGCAACUGGCAUGAACUUUUUCCCAAGGUACGAUUUAGCAAUGUCGAUGCAUGGAGGGAGCCCUGUAUGUUUGAAAUUAUACGCAAACUACAGAAAAAAUAUAAUUCUGGGAUGUAUUUGAUGGGAGGUUAUAUGGAGGCGUUGAUUUGUGAAAUUUUGUAGUUAAAGGCUAGGGGCAUGCAAGAGCCGUUGGUUUAUGAAAUAUUGCAGUUAAAAGCAUACUCGCUUAUUCGUUUGAGAAUAUAACAGUUAGACCAGGACGAUAUCGAUCAGUUCAUUUGGAUGUUCAUAUAUUUGGUUCAGUGCAUGCUAUGUAGGUGGAAAUACCGCCGUUCGAUUCAAAAUGGUAAUUGAAUUGAGUGGAGUGCAAUUUGGACUGAAAUCAAACGCGUGAAUACAAAAUCGCACGAACGCGAUGCGGGAGUGCGAUUUGUAAUCACAAGUUUGAUUUCAGUCCAAAAUUGCACGACACAAAGUUCAAUUUCCACUUUAUUAUAUUCAUUUUGAAAUCUUAAAUAUUUUUGUAAACCGGAAACGUUUUUGUUUGCAAAAGGCACACCUUCGGUACCUCCCUGAGUGCUGUAGCAUAGCAACAGUAAACGAACAAGAUGAAACAUUUUGUAAGUUUUGUUUAUAAAUACGGUUCAAAUACUGCAAAAAUCUAAAAGAAAUGAAGACAUUUAUAAAGAAUAAGAGACAACACAAGUAAGUUUAAACAUAUUGUAGGUCUUACGAGUGAUUGAAAGAGUUCUGGUGCUGUUUUGUGCGUUUAAAAUUGGAAAUACGAUAGGUGAAUUUACCUUUGUUUUCCGGGCGUCCUGUCUGAGCUGACGCUUUAAAUUUGCUUUUGUUGGCAUUUUUGUCAGUUACUAAUGUGAAAUUUAAAAAAAAAAUUAAAAUUCUUUGCAAUUCUUUGAUAGUUUACUGUAGCUAUCCAUUUUUUUAUGUGCAAAAAAUUGCUUAGUAUUGCUUAGUAUUAAAAUUGUUGAGUAUUAAAUCGCGAAAUGUAAAUUUGUUGUUUUUGCUCGUUUGCCAUAUCACAUUUUUCUUAAAAUUCAUUGGCUGUUUGAAUCCUAUGAUUAAAUAUGAUUAGUUGGCUGAAGUCAGCCCUCUAAUGUGAUUGGUUGAAAGAAGGUGCGAUUUCAGCACGAAUCCCACUGCUAAGAGCGCGAUUCGUGCUGAAAUCGCAUUUCUGUGAACCAAUCAGAUUGCAGGAAACACCAUUGAUUUCAAAAUGAAUAUAAUAAAGUGAAACAAUUCCUAACGAUGGGUUUAGUAAAAUUUCAUCAUUAUAGCGCUUUAGGAUCUUUAGAGGUCAAGCGAUACCAUUUUCACACGAUUUUCCCGAACAAUGUAAACAAUGUAAUAACAUGCAAGGCAUACCUUUCGCCGAACAUAACUUUCAACAUAUUUUGUUCGAAUCACAAUCCAAGACACUAUUUAGAUUGUUAUUUUCAAGCUUGUAUCUGCAGCUUGCAUCUUUAUUUCAGUAUUUCAGAAUAUCUAAAUUUUUAGCGAGUGCUUCGACCAGAAAUACAAAUUGAUUGUAGAAACAAUGCGAUGUUUAAUUUCCAGCACUCGGUAGACGUCGGCAACCACACGGAAACUGAUUCUAAAGGUCAAAUUACCCCAGUAGCGUCGCCGAAGUUAUGGUCUGCGAAAGAUAUGGCCAAUCUAUAUUUUUGAUGAGUAAUUUGAUCAUAUACAAUCUUGCUUGACUUCCAGAGGCCAUAAAUCGCUACAAUGUUAAUAAUGACAAAAACUAUUGUAAUUAGGAAUCAGUUAAUUUAAUAUAUUCUGGUUUGUUUUUAAAAAUUUUGCUGUAUAUUAUGGCUAGUUUAUACGGUAUUUGGCGUCAUACGAUAAAGAAUGAAGAUUAAGAAAUAUGUUAUGGUUCAAUGGUUGAAAAAUCAACGCAGGUGGCCUCGAUUGCAAACAAGCAAUUAAUUCAUUAUUCCUAACGAACUGAUUUGCUAUACGCUAUAAUAAUUGCCAUACCAAACUCUACAGCCCUGCUUCGAAUAGAUCUCUGUCUGUGGGAAAUUAAAUACUUUAUUAUAUGCAAACCUGGAUUAACUACUUUGAACAAACGUAAUGAAUUAGUUUCUUAAUUAAUGCAGGAAUGCGAAAAAAUUUCUUUCAACUUACAUUUAAAGGGCAUGCACUCGUGACAGACACAUUUUUGUUUAAAUGUACCGCGCAAUAUUAAUAGCUUGGUGUUAUGAUAUGCAUUGUUAAUACUUCCGCGUCCUGUCAAUUUAUCAAAAGACAAAAUAAUUAUAUUGCUUUGCUUGGUUUGUAAAUAGGAUCAAUUUAAACUUCCAUCCACUUGUACAUAAAUACUGUGUUGUUUUUUUUGCUGUAGUCAUAAGGCUAAUUUAUAUGAUGAGUGCCACAUCUCUGAGUAAAAAAACUUAAACGUUAGACUGAUAAUAUCAAACCGUAAUCGUCCCAAAAAAGUUAUGGCAAAGCAGAAAAAUUUUGAUAGUGGAAAUCGUCGCGUUUGUCGCGAGUUAAAAACUGCAAUUAUUUAGAACAUUCCUAUACGCAUAUUAAUAAUAAGUAAUUUGACUAUUUCUAGACAGAAUUUGAUGAAAACAAGAACUCGUGAGUUUUUGGAACACCUCAAGUGGCACUUAUGCUAUUUUGAUGCCAUUUCAAAAACUCAUUCGUGCACGUUUUAUCCAAAUUAAAUUGGAUUCGAAAUCAUCCUAAUAGUUAUAUUAAUAGUUUACUCUGCACACAUGCACUUGGUCGUGGUUUACAUUUAUGUUAGCUUCCACCUUAUGGAAUGUAUAAAUGUUUGUAAUUUUUUUAUAGCGUCGCAGAACAACACUGAACCCACCCAAAUCGCACUCAAUUCAACAACCGGCGUCCAACUCGAAGAAAUUAUGUCAGAAGAGGUGCCAUUGAAAGUUCGUAAAUAUUUCCCAGAGACUUGGCUUUGGACAGAUUUAAAGUUUAAGUAAGUGCUGCAGUUACUGUUGAUUUUUAGUAUUUUUGCACAAGUGAACAUAAAAAAUCCUACAAAUUGAUUGGUCAAAUUUGACGUAUUAAGCUGUUAUAUUCACCUACAGGUGAAUAUAACAGAACCGAAAUUUUCAAAAUGGCGGCUAGCCGUUGUGUGGCCAUUAUACUGAUAAAGAAAUAAGCG